This 553-nucleotide ribosomal RNA is filed under the name uncultured crenarchaeote. Its description in RNAcentral is "bacterial SSU rRNA". It matches the Rfam family "Archaeal small subunit ribosomal RNA", at positions 325 to 879 of the family's 1478-position model. Lineage: Archaea; Thermoproteati; Thermoproteota. The record is from RNAcentral.
ACGGGGUGCAGCAGGCGAGAAAACUUUGCAAUGUGCGAAAGCACGACAAGGUUAAUCCGAGUGAUUCCUGCUAAAGGAAUCUUUUGUUAGUCAUAAAACCACUAAUGAAUAAGGGGUGGGCAAGUUCUGGUGUCAGCCGCCGCGGUAAAACCAGCACCUCAAGUGGUCAGGAUGAUUAUUGGGCCUAAAGCAUCCGUAGCCGGCUUUGUUAGUUUUCGGUUAAAUCCAUAUGCUCAACAUAUGGGCCGCCGGGAAUACUACAAAGCUAGGGAGUGGGAGAGGUAGACGGUACUCCGUAGGAAGGGGUAAAAUCCUUUGAUCUAUGGAUGACCACCAGUGGCGAAGGCGGUCUACCAGAACACGUUCGACGGUGAGGGAUGAAAGCUGGGGGAGCAAACCGGAUUAGAUACCCGGGUAGUCCCAGCUGUAAACUAUGCAAACUCAGUGAUGCAUUGGCUUGUGGCCAGUGCAGUGCCGCAGAGAAGUCGUUAAGUUUGCCGCCUGGGAAGUACGUACGCAAGUAUGAAACUUAAAGGAAUUGGCGGGGGAGCAC